UACAUUAGAUACCCCUGUAGUCCCAGCCGUAACUAUGCUCGCUAGGUGUCAGGCAUGGCGCGACCGUGUCUGGUGCCGCAGGGAAGCCGUGAAGCGAGCCACCUGGGAAGUACGGCCGCAAGGCUGAAACUUAAAGGAAUUGGCGGGGAGCACCACAACGGGUGGAGCCUGCGGUUUAAUUGGACUCAACGCCGGGAAGCUCACCGGAUAAGACAGCGGAAUGAUUGCCGGGCUGAAGACUCUGCAUGACUAGCUG
RNAcentral lists this ribosomal RNA (256 nucleotides) under uncultured archaeon. Its description in RNAcentral is "partial 16S ribosomal RNA". It matches the Rfam family "Archaeal small subunit ribosomal RNA", at positions 724 to 982 of the family's 1478-position model. The record is from RNAcentral.